This 257-nucleotide ribosomal RNA is filed under the name phenanthrene-metabolizing bacterium DGGE-band-9. RNAcentral describes it as "partial 16S ribosomal RNA". It matches the Rfam family "Bacterial small subunit ribosomal RNA", at positions 1105 to 1359 of the family's 1533-position model. Lineage: Bacteria; Pseudomonadati; Pseudomonadota; Alphaproteobacteria. The record is from RNAcentral.
UUGUCUCAUGUUGCCAGCACGUUAUGGUGGGGACUCGUGAGAGACUGCCGGGGUCAACUCGGAGGAAGGUGGGGAUGACGUCAAGUCAUCAUGCCCCUUAUGUCCAGGGCUUCACACAUGCUACAAUGGCCGGUACAAAGGGCUGCGAUGCCGUGAGGUGGAGCGAAUCCUUUCAAAGCCGGUCUCAGUUCGGAUCGGGGUCUGCAACUCGACCCCGUGAAGUCGGAGUCGCUAGUAAUCGCAGAUCAGCAACGCUG